Molecule: ribosomal RNA, 1245 nt
Filed under: Triticum aestivum (bread wheat)
Lineage: Eukaryota; Viridiplantae; Streptophyta; Magnoliopsida; Poales; Poaceae
Description: partial small subunit ribosomal RNA
Source: RNAcentral
AUGGCGGAGGAACCGUCCGGCAAGCGUCAUCAUGCCGAGACGUCGGACAAGAGGAGCAACCUCAUCGACAUUAGCGUCCCCGGCGAGAAGCGCGAGUACACAACAACCCUCAAAGGGGUUGAGCUCCACGGCAACGAGACGCUGGAGAUCGUCUGCACCAGCGAACCAGAAAAGGCCGACGAGGUGUUCUCCAGGCUUUGGAGGAUGCUUGGCGGCAGGUUUCGUAGGAUCGUCGGCGUUGGUGUGCACUACACCAACAAAGAUGAACCUCCCCAGAAGGCAGCAGUCCUCCAGUUGUGCGUCGACGAACUCUGCUUGGUGUACCACAUCGCAGCGGCCACAAAAUGGCCCAAGCGCCUGACCGAGAUGCUGCAGCAUGAGAAGUUGUUCACAUUUGCCGAUUUCAGCAUUGAAAGCGACAAAGAGAAGCUGAAGUUGUCCGGUAUGGAGAUCAACCCCAACAAGUUCAUCGACAUUCAGCGCAAGUGGAGAGUUCCAUACACCGGAAAAGAGUACGAAUCCUUGACUGAUGUUGCAGCCAGCGUCAUCCACCCAUUCUACAAAGGCAUGAAGAACAAGAUCAACAUGCAGGAAGACUACAAACUGUGGGGGACGAGCGAGCUGCUAGACAACCUCAUCGAAACCACCAUCGCCGCUUCCAUCUACACUGCACACAAACCAAAAACAUCUCUCUCCCAAGCCCACAGUCGCCGGAGCAAGGCGAUGGCGGAGGAACCGUCCGCCAAACGUCACCAUGGCGACACUUCGAACAAGAGCAGCAACCUCGCCGACGUUCACAUCCCCGGCGAGAAGCACGAGUACACCAAAACGCUCAAAGGGGUUGAGCUCCACGGCAAGGAGACGCUGGAGAUCGUCUGCACCAGUGAACCAGACAAGGCUGACCAGAUGAUGAGCAGGCCCAAGCGCCUCAAAGACUUCCUGCAGGAGGAGAAAUUGUACACAUUUGUUGGUUUCAGCAUUGGAGGUGACAAGCAGAAGCUGGGGAAGUCUGGUUUGGAAAUCAACCCCAACAACUUCAUCGACAUGCAGCGCAAGUGGAAAGAUCCAAAGACCAACAAAUACUACGACUCCUUGGCCGAUGUUGCAGGCGGCGUCAUCCACCCAUUCUACGAAGGCAUGAAGAAGAUGAUGAAGAGGGAAGACCACAAACUGUGGGGGACUAGCCCGCUGCCAGACAACCUCAUCACGUACGCAGGAAUAGAUGCGUACGCAAUGUACAAGUCA